Long non-coding RNA from Venturia canescens, 363 nucleotides. RefSeq lists it as uncharacterized. The transcript has 3 exons. The record is from RefSeq and is a predicted model, not a curated record. NCBI's taxonomy places the organism in Eukaryota, Metazoa, Arthropoda, Insecta, Hymenoptera, Ichneumonidae.
CAUGGCCUUCCGCGCUGCUCAUUGGUUCACUCGCGUAAUAAGGAAGUUUCAAUGUUACUUAUCCUCAUUGGCUGUAUGUUUGCGGAAAUAGCAGAACAUUGGAGUAGACUUUUGGUGAGAAUAAAGAAUACAUUCGAAUACUUGUUGGAGGGGGAUACCAGCUGAAGUGAUAGAACUCGUAAACACCUGAAGAAUUCCAACCAUGAAAGUGACCGCUGUCGCGACUUGCAUCGGGAAAGAGCUCUCUUCCAAAUGCCACUUAAGGUAGUUCAUGCAGAAGAGAAAAAGUACGCAACAACAAUGAAGUAUAUAAUGAAGGUUUGACAAAAUAUUUGAGCCGAUUGUCUUACUAGUAAUAAAGCU